UCGGGAAUUUUGGGCAAUGGGCGAAAGCCUGACCCAGCAACGCCGCGUGAGGGAUGAAGGCCCUCGGGUCGUAAACCUCUGUCGGGAGGGAAGAACGGUUGCCCUUCGAACAGGUGGGCAGCCUGACGGUACCUCCAAAGGAAGCACCGGCUAACUCCGUGCCAGCAGCCGCGGUAAUACGGAGGGUGCGAGCGUUGUUCGGAAUCAUUGGGCGUAAAGCGCGUGUAGGCGGCUUGGCAAGUCGGUUGUGAAAUCCCGGGGCCCAACCCCGGAACUGCAAUCGAAACUGCCUCGCUAGAGUCCCGGAGAGGAAGGCGGAAUUCCCGGUGUAGAGGUGAAAUUCGUAGAUAUCGGGAGGAACACCAGUGGCGAAGGCGGCCUUCUGGACGGUGACUGACGCUGAGACGCGAAAGCGUGGGGAGCAA
This 425-nucleotide ribosomal RNA is filed under the name uncultured bacterium. RNAcentral's name for it is "bacterial SSU rRNA". It matches the Rfam family "Bacterial small subunit ribosomal RNA", at positions 355 to 771 of the family's 1533-position model. The record is from RNAcentral.